This 420-nucleotide ribosomal RNA is filed under the name uncultured bacterium. Its description in RNAcentral is "partial 16S ribosomal RNA". It matches the Rfam family "Bacterial small subunit ribosomal RNA", at positions 355 to 768 of the family's 1533-position model. The record is from RNAcentral.
UGGGGAAUAUUGCACAAUGGGCGCAAGCCUGAUGCAGCCAUGCCGCGUGUGUGAAGAAGGCCUUCGGGUUGUAAAGCACUUUCAGCGAGGAGGAAGGGUAGUGUGUUAAUAGCACAUUGCAUUGACGUUACUCGCAGAAGAAGCACCGGCUAACUCCGUGCCAGCAGCCGCGGUAAUACGGAGGGUGCAAGCGUUAAUCGGAAUUACUGGGCGUAAAGCGCACGCAGGCGGUUUGUUAAGUCAGAUGUGAAAUCCCCGCGCUUAACGUGGAACUGCAUUUGAAACUGGCAAGCUAGAGUCUUGUAGAGGGGGGUAGAAUUCCAGGUGUAGCGGUGAAAUGCGUAGAGAUCUGGAGGAAUACCGGUGGCGAAGGCGGCCCCCUGGACAAAGACUGACGCUCAGGUGCGAAAGCGUGGGGAG